GGCUCUGUAGUUUAGUGGUUAAUGCAUUUGCUUGGCAAGCAGAAGGUUGGUAGUUUGAUUCUAGCGGGAGGCA
RNAcentral lists this transfer RNA (73 nucleotides) under Oreochromis niloticus (Nile tilapia). It matches the Rfam family "tRNA". Rfam says of the family: Transfer RNA (tRNA) molecules are approximately 80 nucleotides in length. Lineage: Eukaryota; Metazoa; Chordata; Actinopteri; Cichliformes; Cichlidae. The record is from Rfam by way of RNAcentral.